This 390-nucleotide ribosomal RNA is filed under the name uncultured Bacillariophyceae. RNAcentral describes it as "bacterial LSU rRNA". It matches the Rfam family "Bacterial large subunit ribosomal RNA", at positions 2098 to 2487 of the family's 2925-position model. Lineage: Eukaryota; Bacillariophyta; Bacillariophyceae. The record is from RNAcentral.
GCUUUACUGUAACUUGAAAUUGAAAUUGGACUUUAUUUGCGCAGUAUAGGUGGGAGGCGUUGAGAAUAUUCUUGCGGGAUUAUUGGAGCCAUCAGUGAGAUACCACUCUUGUAAUGUUAGAUUUCUAACUUUGUAUCAUGAUCUGGUCAAAGAACAGUUUCAGGCGGGCAGUUUGACUGGGGCGGUCGCCUCCUAAAGGGUAACGGAGGCGCACAAAGGUUUCCUCUGAACGGGUAGAAAUCGUAUCUAGAGUGUAAAGGCAUAAGGAAGCUUGACUGUGAGACUUACAAGUCGAGCAGGGACGAAAGUCGGUCUUAGUGAUCUGACGGUGCUGAGUGGAAAGGCCGUCACUCAACGGAUAAAAGUUACUCAAGGAAAAAAAGGCUGAAA